This 438-nucleotide long non-coding RNA is filed under the name Nicotiana benthamiana. RNAcentral's name for it is "long non-coding RNA (NBEN_LNC012513)". Lineage: Eukaryota; Viridiplantae; Streptophyta; Magnoliopsida; Solanales; Solanaceae. The record is from RNAcentral.
AAUGAGAUAAGGCCUGCCAUGGAUAACGAAUAACCUUAUUGGUUAGUCUGGUGAUUACCCUACGAAGUAGAGGAAAUAGUCCCUUUGGUAUAAGACGAACCUCUGGAAGCUCUACAAUAUAGAAAGCAAGUUUGGUGCCCUUUGAAGGGAAUCACACAUGAGGGUUGGUUCUCGUGCGAAAAGUAGAGGAAAUCGUCCCUUUGGUAUAAGACGAACCUCUGGAAGCUCUACAAUAUAGAAAAGCUAGAUUGGUGCCCUUUGAAGGGAAUCACACAUGAGGGUUGGUUCUCGUGCGAUUUUUCUAUUGGGCCAAUCCCAUGUUGGCCUGAUACGAGUUGCUUCGGAGCUGCUUUGGAGGUACGAGUUUCACUCUUUAGAUAGGCUAGCCUAAAAGAAAAAAAGCAGUUGAUUACUACAGGUGUCGGCGAUGACCCUAUU